Scophthalmus maximus (turbot) is the source of this 1726-nucleotide long non-coding RNA. RefSeq lists it as uncharacterized. The transcript is spliced from 3 exons. The record is from RefSeq and is a predicted model, not a curated record. Lineage: Eukaryota; Metazoa; Chordata; Actinopteri; Pleuronectiformes; Scophthalmidae.
CAUAGAGGCUGCAGGUUAGAAAUUAACUGUGAUUUGCAAAAACAAAACUACCCACUUGAUCCUCCUAUAUAUAUAUAUCAUACUCCACAUUUUACACACAAGAAAAUUUCACAGGCACACAGCUGACAUCAAUCAUUUGAGAUAUACACCAAUUUGAUGCCUUUAUAAUAAUUAAGACUCUAAUUAUGUACAGUACAGCCAAUAGAUGGUUUGCUUAGCAUACAGACUACAGUAAGUAAGGGGAAACAGCUGGGCUCUGUCCAAAGGAAACAUAAUCCAGAACCAACACCUCCAAAGCUAUUUAACACAUUACACUGUAUCUUGUUUACAUAAUCCAUACAAAUACUUAAGUUACUUGCUGGACUAUUUUGUGGCUGUACGCAGUGACUUUCAGGAGUCACAUAACCGCAACUUGCUGUUUUUACACUAUGUUUAUUUUGUAUGGAUUUUAAAAAAACAAGAAUAAAAAUGUUCAAUAGUGAGUAUGCCAAGUCGCUAUGAACAUUGUAUAACUUGUACAAACGUCAGUCAAAUGCAAAUCAUACAAACAUGUUCAUGGAUCUUUUUGCCCCAGUGUCUUGUGUGUUAAGGUACAAAAAUCCCAAAACCCCAGACAUUACUAAGGGACCAUUAAGUACAGUAUGUCGGUAAGUUUCACUUCCUGACUCUAAUGGAGUUUUUUAAUGCUUGGGAAUAGGGGCAGAUGGAUCCUGCACCUGCUCCACUCAAAUCCUGGGCCAAACCUCCUGUAUGGCCCCUCAACGUUGGGCUCUGAGUGCAGAUAAAACCAGUGUCAAGCCCAAGGCUACGCCCUCAGGGAACUUAUCCAAACUGGUCUGCCUGCCAUUUUGCUAAUCUUUGGUCAACAGCCCAUUUAUCAUUUCACAUAGCAAAUGUUAGUCUUACCUUUUGGAAACAUUUCACAAUUAAACACUUAAAAAAAUACUCAAAUUGAUAAUAUAGAUAUCAAGUGGCUCUAAUAAAAGGUUUGCCAUAAAGACAACAUGAUACUAAUCUCACCCUUGUAUGGAAGGAUUGGAAGGGGCUUUUGAUGUGGUUUUCAGGAGCAACAGACGACAUGUUGAAGCCAUGGCCGCAGGCUCCUGGGAAAUGUAUGAGGUGAUUUGCACGUGUCCCUGAAAUCCCUGGCAUUCAGCACAACUGAGUAUUGAAUCCCUGCUGAGACUGCACACAUUCCACACCAUCGGCUCUUCAGUCCCAGGCCCCAUGAAGCAUCCUUCCUCUCAUCAUUAAACCUACUCUUAACACUUCCAUGGAUGCUGCGCUGAUUCUCCAAUGAGAUAAUAGCAUAUAAUUUGUCAUUCUCCACCCCAUUACCUUGUGAACAUGGUGGAGAUGGAAACUUUCACUUGGCACUGAUGUAUCAUUUUGACAUAAGGAUCAGGGUGAACAAUCUGUCACUGAUGCUGAUGCAGUGUAACGUGAGUCAUCAUGGCUUCUGGGUAUUGAGCAGGAGAUGUCAAUUAUUGGACGGGCCUUUUAGUUAAACAGAACACCUGUAAAGCUUAGAGCCUGAGACUCUAAGUCUUGAGUUGAGCCGUAUAAAAAAAGUUUCUCAAUAAUAAAUAUGUAUAGUAAAUGUCAUUCUUGUACAUUUCCUGUGUCUGUUUGGAAUUAACCUAUUUUUCACUUUCAGUAUGCAUUUAUCUGCUUCUUUCCAUAAUUCUUUCUAAAAAAAAUAUAUCUAUUUUUCUUUUUCAAGAGA